Molecule: long non-coding RNA, 3533 nt
Filed under: Sus scrofa (pig)
Lineage: Eukaryota; Metazoa; Chordata; Mammalia; Artiodactyla; Suidae
Description: lncRNA (ENSSSCG00000057833.1)
Source: RNAcentral
AAAAAAAAAAAAAAAUUCAAAGACAAUCACUGUUCACCUUCUCUACUUUUAUACCCUAGUGCAAACCACUGGCAUCUCUCACCUGAACGAAUGUAAUCGUCUUUGAAGUGACAGUGAAGUGACUGUCAAUGAAGUAUUUCUAAAGCUUUCAGAUAUCUGUUUCCCAUUAAACCUGGGGUGAAAUCCAACCCUUAUUAGAAUCACAAGACCUCCAAAGCCUGGCCCUCAUUUCCCACCAUCCCUCUCCUCACUUAUAACACAAUUGUCACACCAACUUUCUUCUGUCAUGCAACUCAUCUGGUUUGUUUUGAUGGAAAGGCCUUUUUGCCUCUUUGUAGCACUUAUUCCCCAAAUCCUUAUAAGGUGCCUUCUUGUCCUCAUUAAGGUCCCAAAUUCCAGUAGACCCUCCUCAAAAGGUCUUCAUACCUCCUCAAACAGCCCCACUUCCCAUCAGUCGAAGAGAACAUUUACCUCUUUUAUCUUAUCCAUAGUGUCUGUUCCUGAAAUUAUCUUAUCUAUUACAGGUCUGUUACCUGCUCUUGGGGCUAGACUACAUGCCCCAUGCCUAGACUACAUGUCCCAUGCAGGCAAGGACUCUGUGUGGUCCAUUGCUAUAUCCCUGGAACCUAGAACAUGCCUGACACAUAGAGAAGCUAAGGAAACACUUGUAGGCUGGCCAGUCCAAACGGAAGGGAAAACCCACAAAAAGUUAAAUGCUUUCUAGCAAGCCAGCUGCUUGGCUCUGUUAUGUGCCUGCUGAUCAAUAGCAUAUAUGUGUCCAUCUUGAGAUCUGCAGAGACUCCCAAAUUGCCCUUCAGAGAUAAAUGAACUAAUCAGGUGAGCUCCUAUUUCUGUUUGGCUUUCUCCAAAUUCUGGUAUGUCAUGCAAUUCUGCUUUCCACUUUGGUGGCCUCCUAGGCCCAGUGAUGCCCUAAUUCUUAUGCAACUUAAUCAAGAAAAGAAUGAGUCAUUGUAAAUGAAUCAAACUAGUUCCAAAAGGAAAUAUGGGUAUAGAUGCUUUCAGAGCAAUGAAAUCAAUACAGGACUCCACCUUCGGGCAGGGUUUAGAAGAUCAUUAAAAAUGCAACCCUUCUCAAAACAGCAAACAUCUUCUGGUCAUUAGAAACCAUGCAAUUUCCUUUUAGAGAAGUCUUUAAAUUGAAGCAACUCUCUAAAGCUCUUUUGUGUGUGUGUGUGUGUGUGUGUGUGUGUGUGUGUGUGUGUGUGUGUGUGUUUAUACCACUCUUACUUUGUCUAGAAUUACUUUGUUGUUGCCCAUAUCAUCAGAAUUAUCAUUGGUAAAAGAAAUUUCCAUUUUGGAAAACAAAGCAAGCAAGCAUGCAGUACAAUGAGCAAUAUUGACCUGAAAUACAAAACAAGAUGGUAGCUGAAUGAUAACUAAUUAGAGACAAGCCAUCAGAAUUAGGAAGCCCUGCCAGUUAGACAUCUUCAACUUCAAGAGGAAAAGAAAGUGUGAACUAGAGAGGGGAAAAAAAAAAUCUCAGAAUCUACCUUGCAUCUUUCAGCAGUUGGGCAAUUAAAUGAAAUUCACACCAAUUGAGAUCAAGGAAGCCUGGAGGCGGACACAAUAAAAGAAGGUUAUAGAUGCCCCAACAACAUGUUGACAGAAUUACAAUCAUUUCACUGCUAGAAAGACAAGGAGUUUUUGAUGAGUUCCUUACAAGUGGUAUCUUUUAAUCAUAGAGAAAAUGGCUUCUCCCAAAUAUAAAAUUGAGCAUGUUAAAAUGCUUUUUUUUUUUUUUUGCAUCCGCGUGAUUAUAUUUUAAUUGACAAAUAAUUACGUUGGCUUAGACCCACAGUGUGCUCAUCCUCUUCUCAUUCUCAUACCAUACAAACAUAGACAUUAAGAAUAUAUUCAAAAAACAUCUAGCUCCUUGAAAUUGUAGUUUAUAUUACAAAAGAAUUUUAUUUCCACCAUAUACAAGAUUCAUCACUGAAUGACUUUAUAAAGAGCUCGCCUGUGUUUUUUAAGUGUUUGCUCAGAGAUUAUUAUUGGACCUAGAUGAUAAAAAGAAGGAAAUUUAAAGUUCACCUUCUAGAAGCCAUAACCAAUUGAAGAGCUAUCAGAAAUAAAAAUAAAGCAUUUCUGAAACCAUUACAUGUGUCAAUAGGAAAGUAAGUUAACAUUUUGAGGAUUUCAUGGAUCAUUUUAACGAACAAAAACACGAUGUAAAACAGGAAACUGGUAGUUAACUGAACGUCAUGACAGAAAAAAAAACAGACCCUUUGCUUGUUCAGUCACUGGAACAGAACCAUCCUCUUUCAACACCAUCUCCAUAGAAUUUUCAACUCUCCCGCCUCCAGCCCAGAAGCUAGAUGACCCGAUUGCAUAUAGGAAAUAAGUUUCCAUAGAUCAAACCUUGUUGGUCUGUGUUCAGUAAUCUCCUUUUACUUUCAAACUGCUAAACUCUGUUCUUAGACAAAGAUGAGUUUCUAUUCUUUUUUGAAAACAUUGUUUUCAGUGUUUGCUGCUUACUAUAUUUGUAAUGAAAAGGCGUAAGUCUCAUCCCCCUUACUAAUCCAUGUUACAGAACAUCGUGGGUUCAGAUAGUGGGUAUAAAUUACUGUCCUAUUGUUCUAUGAAACCAAACCUAACUGACACAUUAGCCAAAAGCUCUGGCAUGGGAUUGUGUUUUGGGUCCAUUGCAAAACCAUCAUUUUCCUCAGCACUGAAGUGGGUCAUCUCUCUACUCGUCUUAAGGAGUUGCUGGAAGGAUGAGAUGAGCUGAGCUAUCUGGAGACUGAGAUGCACAAACAGCUUUACACACAGCCAGUAGAAACAGUGGUGUUUGACGCUGAUAUACAUUUGCAUUUAUAAGCCACAGAUGAUUAGAAAGUUAUCCCCAGGGUGUCCAUGAAAGAUUGAGCCUUCUGACAUGUCCCCAUCUAUGGUAAAGGCCACUACUUCUACCAUGUGACUCGUUCUUUUGCAAUCAGCUAGAGUUGAUACAGUUCCGACAUAGCCCUCUGUGUACCUUAAAAAUCAAUCUUGAGGGAGUUCUCAUCGUAGCUCAGUGGUAACGAACCCACCUACUGUCCAUGAGGACCGGGUUUGAUCCUUGGCCUUGCUCAGUGGGUUAAGGAGCUGGUGUCACCAUGAGCUGUGGCGCAGGUCACAGAUGAGGCUCGAAUCCCACAUUGCUGUCAUUGCUGUGGCUGUGAGGUAGGUCAGCACUGCAGCUCUGAUUGGACCCCUGGUCUAGGAACUUCCAUGCUCCACAGGUGCGGCCCUAAAAAAAAAUAGCAAACUUCAUUCACCAUUGGUUAGAAAAUUUCUAUUUGAACAUCAACAGAAACCAUGUGGAAGCAAACAGGAAUGUACCCAGCUGACUCUCCCAGCUGACCUACAGAUAUGCUCAGGGACAGAAAUUCUGGCACCAUGGGCACUCAAGAGCGAUUUUGAUCAAUGAUAUUCUAUUACUUUGGAAAAGGUCAAAGAGUUCGUGAAAGUUCUAUCUGGGGGUCCACAUUUACGCUUUGUGAAAAUUAUUGACGCUGAUCAUUUUAAAACCA